RNAcentral lists this ribosomal RNA (507 nucleotides) under uncultured bacterium. RNAcentral describes it as "bacterial SSU rRNA". It matches the Rfam family "Bacterial small subunit ribosomal RNA", at positions 568 to 1074 of the family's 1533-position model. The record is from RNAcentral.
UACGCGGGCGGUUUGUUAAGGGAGAUGUGAAAGCCCCGGGAGCAGCCUGGGAACUGCAUUUCGAACUGGCAAACUAGAGUGGGAUAGAGGGUGGUAGAAUUUCAGGUGUAGCGGUGAAAUGCGUAGAGAUCUGAAGGAAUACCGAUGGCGAAGGCAGCCACCUGGGUCAACACUGACGCUCAUGUACGAAAGCGUGGGGAGCAAACGGGAUUAGAUACCCCGGUAGUCCACGCCGUAAACGAUGUCUACUAGAAGCUCGGAACCUCGGUUCUGUUUUUCAAAGCUAACGCAUUAAGUAGACCGCCUGGGGAGUACGGCCGCAAGGUUAAAACUCAAAUGAAUUGACGGGGGCCCGCACAAGCGGUGGAGCAUGUGGUUUAAUUUUUUGCAACGCGAAGAACCUUACCUACACUUGACAUACAGAGAACUUUCUAGAGAUAGAUUGGUGCCUUCGGGAACUCUGAUACAGGGUGCUGCAUGGCUGUCGUCAGCUCGUGUUGUGAGAUG